This 305-nucleotide ribosomal RNA is filed under the name uncultured bacterium. RNAcentral describes it as "partial 16S ribosomal RNA". It matches the Rfam family "Bacterial small subunit ribosomal RNA", at positions 508 to 808 of the family's 1533-position model. The record is from RNAcentral.
ACAGCACCGCCGCGGUAAUACGUAGGGCGCAAGCGUUGUCCGGAAUUAUUGGGCGUAAAGAGCUCGUAGGCGGUCUGUCGCGUCUGGUGUGAAAUCCCGAGGCUCAACCUCGGGCUUGCAUCGGGUACGGGCAGACUAGAGUGCGGUAGGGGAGACUGGAAUUCCUGGUGUAGCGGUGGAAUGCGCAGAUAUCAGGAGGAACACCGAUGGCGAAGGCAGGUCUCUGGGCCGCAACUGACGCUGAGGAGCGAAAGCAUGGGGAGCGAACAGGAUUAGAUACCCCAGUAGUCCCUGUCUCUUAUACA